GACGAACGCUGGCGGCGUGCCUAAUACAUGCAAGUCGAACGCAGUGGGGACGGGUGAGUAACACGUGGGUAACCUCCCAUCUGCGGGGAUAACACUUGGACACCGGUGCUAAACCCAUACGGAUGGCUGGACCCGCGGUGCAUUAGCUAGUUGGUGAGGUAACGGCUCACCAAGGCCAAGAUGCAUAGCCGGCCUGAGAGGGUGAUCGGCCACACUGGGACUGAGACACGGCCCAGACGCCUACGGGAGGCAGCAGGGGGGAAUCUUGGGCAAUGGGCGAAAGCCUGACGGAGCAACGCCGCGUGUGUGAAGAAGGUUUUCGGGUUGUAAAACUCUUUUGUUAGAGAAGCGUUAUCUACACAGGAAGCCCCGGCUAACUACGUGCCAGCAGCCGCGGUAAUAC
Molecule: ribosomal RNA, 403 nt
Filed under: uncultured bacterium
Lineage: Bacteria
Description: partial 16S ribosomal RNA
Rfam family: Bacterial small subunit ribosomal RNA
Source: RNAcentral